CCUACGGGAGGCUGCAGUGGGGAAUAUUGGACAAUGGGCGAAAGCCUGAUCCAGCCAUGCCGCGUGUGUGAAGAAGGCCUUCGGGUUGUAAAGCACUUUCAGUGGGGAAGAAAGCCUUGGGGCUAAUACCCUCGAGGAAGGACAUCACCCACAGAAGAAGCACCGGCUAACUCCGUGCCAGCAGCCGCGGUAAUACGGAGGGUGCGAGCGUUAAUCGGAAUUACUGGGCGUAAAGCGCGCGUAGGCGGUCUGAUAAGCCGGUUGUGAAAGCCCCGGGCUCAACCUGGGAACGGCAUCCGGAACUGUCAGGCUAGAGUGCAGGAGAGGAAGGUAGAAUUCCCGGUGUAGCGGUGAAAUGCGUAGAGAUCGGGAGGAAUACCAGUGGCGAAGGCGGGCUUCUGGACUGACACUGACGCUGAGGUGCGAAAGCGUGGGUAGCAAACAGGAUUAGAUACCCUAGUAGUC
This 465-nucleotide ribosomal RNA is filed under the name Vreelandella stevensii. Its description in RNAcentral is "partial 16S ribosomal RNA". It matches the Rfam family "Bacterial small subunit ribosomal RNA", at positions 338 to 795 of the family's 1533-position model. The record is from RNAcentral. Lineage: Bacteria; Pseudomonadati; Pseudomonadota; Gammaproteobacteria; Oceanospirillales; Halomonadaceae.